Small nucleolar RNA from Mus pahari (shrew mouse), 143 nucleotides. RefSeq annotates it as small nucleolar RNA SNORA48. The record is from RefSeq and is a predicted model, not a curated record. Lineage: Eukaryota; Metazoa; Chordata; Mammalia; Rodentia; Muridae. The transcript has a single exon.
AGCCCCUGGCAAUGGACAAAGAGACACCUUGUUGUUGGUGGCGUUCUUCUAUCAGUCAGGGCAGAGCAGAUGGCAGUCCUUUGCUCAUACUAGCCUGAUGCCUAGCUUGGUGGCCAAAGCUGUUUUGUGCCUAGGACAUAUAA